RNAcentral lists this transfer RNA (73 nucleotides) under Procambarus clarkii (red swamp crayfish). Its description in RNAcentral is "transfer RNA valine (anticodon UAC)". It matches the Rfam family "tRNA". Rfam says of the family: Transfer RNA (tRNA) molecules are approximately 80 nucleotides in length. Their secondary structure includes four short double-helical elements and three loops (D, anti-codon, and T loops). Further hydrogen bonds mediate the characteristic L-shaped molecular structure. tRNAs have two regions of fundamental functional importance: the anti-codon, which is responsible for specific mRNA codon recognition, and the 3' end, to which the tRNAs corresponding amino acid is attached (by aminoacyl-tRNA synthetases). tRNAs cope with the degeneracy of the genetic code in two manners: having more than one tRNA (with a specific anti-codon) for a particular amino acid; and 'wobble' base-pairing, i.e. permitting non-standard base-pairing at the 3rd anti-codon position. The record is from RNAcentral. Lineage: Eukaryota; Metazoa; Arthropoda; Malacostraca; Decapoda; Cambaridae.
GCUCUCGUAGUGUAGUGGUUAUCACGUCUGCUUUACACGCAGAAGGUCCCAGGUUCGAUCCCCGGCGAGAGCA